UACGAAGGGGGCUAGCGUUGCUCGGAAUUACUGGGCGUAAAGCGCACGUAGGCGGCUCUUUAAGUCGGGGGUGAAAUCCUGGAGCUCAACUCCAGAACUGCCUUUGAUACUGGCGAUCUUGAGUCCGGGAGAGGUGAGUGGAACUCCGAGUGUAGAGGUGAAAUUCGUAGAUAUUCGGAAGAACGCCAGUGGCGAAGGCGGCUCACUGGCCCGGUACUGACGCUGAGGUGCGAAAGCGUGGGGAGCAAACAGG
RNAcentral lists this ribosomal RNA (253 nucleotides) under uncultured bacterium. Its description in RNAcentral is "partial 16S ribosomal RNA". It matches the Rfam family "Bacterial small subunit ribosomal RNA", at positions 524 to 776 of the family's 1533-position model. The record is from RNAcentral.